GAGAAGAUAGUGGCGAACGGGUGAGUAACACGUGGGUAACCUGCCCAUAAGAGGGGGAGUAACAUCCGGAAACGGGUGCUAAUACCGCAUAGUUUUCUCGAUCGCAUGAUUGAGAAAGGAAAGACGGCCUUUGUGCUGUCGCUUAUGGAUGGACCCGCGGCGUAUUAGUUAGUUGGUGAGGUAACGGCUUACCAAGACGAUGAUACGUAGCCGACCUGAGAGGGUGAUCGGCCACAUUGGGACUGAGACACGGCCCAAACUCCUACGGGAGGCAGCAGUAGGGAAUCUUCCGCAAUGGACGAAAGUCUGACGGAGCAACGCCGCGUGAGUGAAGAAAAGGUUUUCGGAUCGUAAAACUCUGUUGUCAGAGAAGAACAAGUUGGAGAGUAACUGCUCCAGCCUUGACGGUAUCUGACCAGAAAGCCACGGCUAACUACGUGCCAGCCGCCGC
This 451-nucleotide ribosomal RNA is filed under the name uncultured bacterium. Its description in RNAcentral is "bacterial SSU rRNA". It matches the Rfam family "Bacterial small subunit ribosomal RNA", at positions 86 to 518 of the family's 1533-position model. The record is from RNAcentral.